AGAAUAUGACAUGGUGAAAGCUGAUCAGCAUCCGCGUGAGAUGACGUCUAUGAUGUAACUCUUUGUACAGGAUAACUACUCUCGUGAGGUAGCUGAGUACUGUACGAUAGCACGCUACUCCGUGCCAGCAGCGCGUAAUACGGAGGGUGCAAGCGUAUCCGGAUUUAUUGGGUUUAAAGGGUCCGUAGGCGGACCUGUAAGUCAGUGGUGAAAUCUCAUAGCUUAACUAUGAAACUGCCAUUGAUACUGCAGGUCUUGAGUAAAUUUGAAGUGGCUGGAAUAAGUAGUGUAGCGGUGAAAUGCAUAGAUAUUACUUAGAACACCAAUUGCGAAGGCAGGUCACUAAGAUUUAACUGACGCUGAUGGACGAAAGCGUGGGUAGCGAACAGGAUUAGAUACCCUGGUAGUCCACGCCGUAAACGAUGCUAACUCGUUUUUGGAUUUUCGGAUUCAGAGACCAAGCGAAAGUGAUAAGUUAGCCACCUGGGGAGUACGUUCGCAAGAAUGAAACUCAAAGGAAUUGACGGGGGCCCGCACAAGCGGUGGAUUAUGUGGUUUAA
RNAcentral lists this ribosomal RNA (560 nucleotides) under [Bacillus atrophaeus] str. chideg04. RNAcentral's name for it is "bacterial SSU rRNA". It matches the Rfam family "Bacterial small subunit ribosomal RNA", at positions 358 to 949 of the family's 1533-position model. The record is from RNAcentral. Lineage: Bacteria; Pseudomonadati; Bacteroidota; Flavobacteriia; Flavobacteriales; Flavobacteriaceae.